Molecule: ribosomal RNA, 26 nt
Filed under: Spiroplasma endosymbiont of Glossina fuscipes fuscipes
Lineage: Bacteria; Bacillati; Mycoplasmatota; Mollicutes; Entomoplasmatales; Spiroplasmataceae
Source: RNAcentral
AUCUGGUGCUUAUGGCAUAGUGGACA